UUUUAUUUGAGAGUUUGAUCCUGGCUCAGGAUGAACGCUGGCGGCGUGCCUAACACAUGCAAGUUGAGCGAUUUACUUCGGUAAAGAGCGGCGGACGGGUGAGUAACGCGUGGGUAACCUACCCUGUACACACGGAUAACAUACCGAAAGGUAUGCUAAUACGGGAUAAUAUAUUUGAGAGGCAUCUCUCGAAUAUCAAAGGUGAGCCAGUACAGGAUGGACCCGCGUCUGAUUAGCUAGUUGGUAAGGUAACGGCUUACCAAGGCGACGAUCAGUAGCCGACCUGAGAGGGUGAUCGGCCACAUUGGAACUGAGACACGGUCCAAACUCCUACGGGAGGCAGCAGUGGGGAAUAUUGCACAAUGGGCGAAAGCCUGAUGCAGCAACGCCGCGUGAGUGAUGAAGGCCUUCGGGUCGUAAAACUCUGUCCUCAAGGAAGAUAAUGACGGUA
This 451-nucleotide ribosomal RNA is filed under the name Clostridioides difficile. RNAcentral describes it as "bacterial SSU rRNA". It matches the Rfam family "Bacterial small subunit ribosomal RNA", at positions 1 to 477 of the family's 1533-position model. Lineage: Bacteria; Bacillati; Bacillota; Clostridia; Peptostreptococcales; Peptostreptococcaceae. The record is from RNAcentral.